This 257-nucleotide ribosomal RNA is filed under the name uncultured prokaryote. RNAcentral describes it as "partial 16S ribosomal RNA". It matches the Rfam family "Bacterial small subunit ribosomal RNA", at positions 521 to 777 of the family's 1533-position model. The record is from RNAcentral.
UAAUACGUAGGGGGCAAGCGUUGUCCGGAUUUAUUGGGCGUAAAGAGCGUGUAGGCGGCCAUGCAGGUCCGCUGUGAAAGUCGGGGGCUCAACCCUCGAAUGCCGGUGGAUACUGUAGGGCUAGAGUGCGGAAGAGGCGAGUGGAAUUCCUGGUGUAGCGGUGAAAUGCGCAGAUAUCAAGAGGAACACCUAUUGCGAAGGCAGCUCGCUGGGACGUAACUGACGCUGAGACGCGAAAGCGUGGGGAGCGAACAGGA